GACGAACGCUGGCGGCGUGCUUAACACAUGCAAGUCGAACGGAAAGGCCCUGCUUUUGUGGGGUGCUCGAGUGGCGAACGGGUGAGUAACACGUGAGUAACCUGCCCUUGACUUUGGGAUAACUUCAGGAAACUGGGGCUAAUACCGGAUAGGAGCUCCUGCUGCAUGGUGGGGGUUGGAAAGUUUCGGCGGUUGGGGAUGGACUCGCGGCUUAUCAGCUUGUUGGUGGGGUAGUGGCUUACCAAGGCUUUGACGGGUAGCCGGCCUGAGAGGGUGACCGGCCACAAUGGGACUGAGGUACGGCCCAGACUCCUACGGGAGGCAGCAGUGGGGAGUAUUGCACAGUGGGCGGGAGCCUGAUGCAGCGGCGCCGCGUGCGGGAUGACGGCCUGCGGGUUGUGAACCGCUUUCGCCUGUGACGAAGCGUGAGUGACGGUAAUGGGUGAAGAAGCACCGGCUAACUACGUG
This 468-nucleotide ribosomal RNA is filed under the name uncultured bacterium. RNAcentral's name for it is "partial 16S ribosomal RNA". It matches the Rfam family "Bacterial small subunit ribosomal RNA", at positions 28 to 507 of the family's 1533-position model. The record is from RNAcentral.